This 74-nucleotide transfer RNA is filed under the name archaeon. RNAcentral's name for it is "tRNA-Ile". It matches the Rfam family "tRNA". Rfam says of the family: Transfer RNA (tRNA) molecules are approximately 80 nucleotides in length. Their secondary structure includes four short double-helical elements and three loops (D, anti-codon, and T loops). The record is from RNAcentral.
GAGGCUGUGGCGCAGUCAGGUAGCGCAUCGCUCUGAUAAGGCGGGGGUCCCAGGUUCAAAUCCUGGCAGCCUCA